GGGGCCGACCGGUAUCGACAGCGAGAUGAAUGAAUGAGUAAGCAGGUCGAGUAUUUAGUGAGUAACUCGUUAAACCUAACACUAAAAGUCUAUAAACGACGACAAUAAUUACGCGCUUGCAGCGUAACACUCUAUAGAGGUUACAAUUAAUUCGGGACAAUAGUUUCGAACAAGCAUUUCUCUCAGGGGUUCCGCUCACUAAUACCCUGGUCAAGAGGAAUCGAUAUUUUGAGCUAGUCAAUUUGGAACCUAGACUGGUUGGCGAACCUAAAUAGGAUAAGGUAUAAAUUGGGUGUUUACUUCCGGUUUAUAUUCGAAAACCAAUAGUAGAAUAAACUUGUAGAAAGCUUCUUGAUUCCUUGUUUGGACGAGAGUUCGAAUCUCUCCGGCUCCACUU
This 397-nucleotide transfer-messenger RNA is filed under the name Vicingaceae bacterium. It matches the Rfam family "transfer-messenger RNA". From Rfam's summary of the family: Bacterial tmRNA, also known as 10Sa RNA or SsrA, is named for its dual tRNA and mRNA-like properties. Lineage: Bacteria; Pseudomonadati; Bacteroidota; Flavobacteriia; Flavobacteriales; Vicingaceae. The record is from RNAcentral.